GGUUCCAUAGUGUAGUGGUUAGCACAUCUGCUUUAUACGCAGAAGGUCCUGGGUUCGUGUCCCAGUGGAGCGA
Molecule: non-coding RNA, 73 nt
Organism: Pteropus alecto (black flying fox)
Lineage: Eukaryota; Metazoa; Chordata; Mammalia; Chiroptera; Pteropodidae
Source: Rfam